UUUCUCUCUUGUUUUUGUAAUCGUGAGGUAAGCUUUUGAUGUCAAGCGUCUGCUUUAGGGUCAAUCGAUGGCCAUUCGAUCUCAUCCUACUUCCUUUCCUGUUCUAACCCACCAACUGUUGACCUUAUGAUUGGCGCCAAUCACUCUUGUUUCCUUCUUCUAGUUUCGUUUCUACCUCACAUUUUCUCACCAAUCAGCUCUUUCUCUCCUCUUUCUCUACCUUUUCUCCUCCUUGCUACCUCUCAUGACUAUUUUUGGUGUGGUCCUUGAUAGGGUGACCAUUGUUGACCUUGCCGGAAACAACCACCCUUUCAAUUCACUUUCCGCCUCUCAUAUUUCCUUUUCCAUGCCCACCUUUUUUCUUGCAAAUUUCCUCCUAUCAUCCCAACAAGUUCUUGUGGAAUAAUAAAGUUGGACUUGGGCCUUUCUUGUGUCUCUUUCCGUGUGGGAGGUCUCUCGAGUCUUUGUACUUGUGUUUGGCUCUACCCUUCGAUGGUAGUUUUCUCGAGCUGCCCGCGUUUAAUGGAACAAGCUAGCUAGAAGCGGGUCCAUUGCAAUGGGGGCAAGUCAAUAAAAAACAAACAAACAAUUCAAUAAUCCCCAUGUUUGUAUUUUGAAAGUAAAAUGGAUCUGUCUGAUAGGUAAUUUAUUAAAAAAAGAAUUCAUCUUAAAUUUUCUGUUUUGAUGAAUCAACUAUUACCAGAGUUAUAAAUGGACAAUGAGAGAUAAAGAACCCAAAUUUUUUUUUUGGCAUGACAGGGCUCUAUGCAUCAUUGCGGCUUCACCACCUUGAUGGCCAAACAUCAAAGUAUACCAAAAAGGGUUUUCACCUUUCUUCCUUUGAAUAGACAAUGACGGCGGGGUUCAUGUGAAAAUGCUCUCCUCAAAUUUUGGUUUGUUGACAUCUGAGUCUUAGCUUGUUUUGUUUGUAAGGUCUGUAUUAAACUUUAUAUGUAUGUAUUUUGCAUAUGGUGUCUUGCACUAGUUGUACAUUUGCUCAAAGCCUGGUCCUCGUUUACUUUCCUUUCUUAUGUAUGGUUUUACCACAUCUAAAAAUUUAUAUAUUUUAUUUUAUUUAUUAAAA
RNAcentral lists this long non-coding RNA (1084 nucleotides) under Gossypium barbadense (sea-island cotton). RNAcentral's name for it is "long non-coding RNA (GBAR_LNC005994)". The record is from RNAcentral. Lineage: Eukaryota; Viridiplantae; Streptophyta; Magnoliopsida; Malvales; Malvaceae.